RNAcentral lists this ribosomal RNA (473 nucleotides) under uncultured Magnetococcus sp. RNAcentral describes it as "bacterial SSU rRNA". It matches the Rfam family "Bacterial small subunit ribosomal RNA", at positions 79 to 587 of the family's 1533-position model. The record is from RNAcentral. Lineage: Bacteria; Pseudomonadati; Pseudomonadota; Magnetococcia; Magnetococcales; Magnetococcaceae.
UUCGGGGCGCUGGCGAGUGGCGAACGGGUGAGUAACACGUGGAAACCUGUCAUGAGGUGGGGGACAACAGCUGGAAACGGCUGCUAAUACCGCAUAAGCCCUACGGGGGAAAGAUUUAUCGCCUUAUGAGGGGUCCGCGUCGGAUUAGCUGGUUGGUGGGGUAAAGGCCUACCAAGGCAACGAUCCGUAGCUGGUCUGAGAGGAUGAUCAGCCACACUGGGACUGAGACACGGCCCAGACUCCUACGGGAGGCAGCGGUGGGGAAUAUUGCGCAAUGGGGGCAACCCUGACGCAGCGAUGCCGCGUGGACGAAGAAGGCCUUCGGGUUGUAAAGUCCUUUCAGUGGGGAAGAUAGUGACGGUACCCACAGAAGAAGCUCCGGCUAACUCCGUGCCAGCAGCCGCGGUAAUACGGAGGGGGCGAGCGUUGUUCGGAAUUACUGGGCGUAAAGGGCGCGUAGGCGGUUAUGCAAG